GGAAUCUUCGGCAAUGGACGAAAGUCUGACCGAGCAACGCCGCGUGAGUGAAGAAGGUUUUCGGAUCGUAAAACUCUGUUGUUAGAGAAGAACGUUGGUGAGAGUGGAAAGCUCAUCAAGUGACGGUAACUACCCAGAAAGGGACGGCUAACUACGUGCCAG
RNAcentral lists this ribosomal RNA (162 nucleotides) under uncultured bacterium. RNAcentral describes it as "partial 16S ribosomal RNA". It matches the Rfam family "Bacterial small subunit ribosomal RNA", at positions 358 to 511 of the family's 1533-position model. The record is from RNAcentral.